CAGUUUGUCAGUCAUUUUCUUCUGUGUCCUGCAGAAUGUCUGGCAGACUCUUUCAUGAAGCAGGAACCCUAAAGGACCAUCUCACCUUUAGGCAAGUUCAGCAGUCAUUUUUCUGUGGGUUCUGAAUGUCCAUCCAGUUCACAAAGCAUAACAUCAGGUAGUCCAGUAGCCAAAGCCAUCAUCUGAGCACAAGCCUCUGGGAGCAGCUGGAUUCCCACCACCAGUACGCGAUCCAUCAACUGGAUGAUGCCUUUGUGCACUGCCCAGCCUGUACUUCUGCUUGGAGCAGGCCUGGACAUUCAACUUCUGAACCCAGCUUGAAGAAGGCCAGGGACAGAAGAGAAGAAAAAUCUCUCUGAGAAACCUUGACAACAAAACUGUGCAGUUUUCCUGUCUCCUAAGGUCACUAUCUGCUUUCAAAUGACUCUUUCAGUGACUGCCAGGAGCUGUUCUCCUUCGUCCCCAUCAUUUCUGAUCUGUUUUCCUGGAGUUGCAGCCCAGGGUCAUGCUGAAACUUAAUGUGGGAAGAUUGUUCACAGUGAAGCCAUGUGCUCAGACCAGGGACACAAACAUUUGGGACUGCCAGAUCCAGAGACUGAGCAGGAGGAGCUGGGAUGAAUGGCAAAGUUUAGAGUCUGCAGGGUCAUGGUCACUUGCUAGCCUGGGGGUAUGGUUCCCACACAUGAAUGUCUCCUUGGCUGGCAUUAAAUCAAACUUUCUUUCUGGGCAUGGG
Molecule: long non-coding RNA, 733 nt
Organism: Arvicola amphibius (Eurasian water vole)
Lineage: Eukaryota; Metazoa; Chordata; Mammalia; Rodentia; Cricetidae
Exons: 2
Source: RefSeq, a predicted model, not a curated record